UCGCGUGCCCAUAGAUAUCGUCCGGUUAGGUUAGGCGUAUGCAGCGGCCCAAUUACGGAUGCCUUCUUUCGUUACCGAAAACACGACAGGUCUAGCCUCGGUGCUAGCCACGACGGGUGCAGCCUAGGGCAUUUUCCAUUUCUCUUCUUCCCCAGAAACGUCAAACGUUGCUACGAAUGCGUAUCUGAGGCUGUUGUUCUGUUCUUGUUUGUUUUUUUGUAUUUGUUACUGUUACAUUAUAGGCGUUUGUUCACUCACCAUGCUGUCAAGGUGAUACCUGAAUUACGUAGUAUUUUCUGGCUACUGUAACACGUCGUUGAUAACGGAAAACAGCGCCAUCCAAGCUGCGAUGACUUUAUUUUCCUUUCUUGAUGGCCGUGUGGGUACAAAUGGCAACUGAGCGAUAGUGCAGGCGUGCGCAGGUACGGAGCCCACAAAGAAGAGCACAACAGCUGUGGUGCCGAGCAUGCACCUGAAACCUUCCACAUGGGUAUGCCACAGACAACUCUAGAAGAGCGCCGACAGUAGAAACGCGAGAGAGCUCGCAUUCGCCAGGCCGAUCGUGCAGUCGUGGCACAGAAACAGGCCCGGGAGGCCGAGUGCCAGCAGCAACUGUGAACGAAUGAUCCAGCAGCCUUCCAAGCCGUGCUAAACCGUGAACAGGAAUCCAAGCGCCGGAGAAAGGCGCAUCCUACAAAUCACGCUGCCGAGUUGGCUCGCAAUGUCAAACGCUUGCAACAAUGUUGCGCCGAACAAUAAAUGCGUGCUUCUUCAAGA
Molecule: long non-coding RNA, 777 nt
Organism: Rhipicephalus microplus (southern cattle tick)
Lineage: Eukaryota; Metazoa; Arthropoda; Arachnida; Ixodida; Ixodidae
Source: RefSeq, a predicted model, not a curated record